Molecule: long non-coding RNA, 224 nt
Filed under: Bos taurus (domestic cattle)
Lineage: Eukaryota; Metazoa; Chordata; Mammalia; Artiodactyla; Bovidae
Description: long non-coding RNA NONBTAT027067
Source: RNAcentral
CAAUAACUGAAUAAGUCAUACUCAUGAAGCCCAAGAAAUGGAACUAUGCCUAAUUAUCAGAAUUUGAUUCAACACUCAUGACGGCAGUACUCUGAAGAUAAAACAAUCGACGACACAAGAGGAUUCUUCUUUUUGAGCUAUGUUUUUUUCACAAGGAUUUAGAGUCAUUAUGAAGGCAAUGAAUUUAAGCAUCAACUGUCAUUAUUAACAUACACUUCAUCUCU